GAUGAACGCUAGCUACAGGCUUAACACAUGCAAGUCGAGGGGAAACGAUAGAGAAAGCUUGCUUUUUCUAGGCGUCGACCGGCGCACGGGUGAGUAACGCGUAUCCAACCUGCCCAUCACUUGGGGAUAACCUUGCGAAAGUAAGACUAAUACCCAAUGAUAUCUCUAGAAGACAUCUGAAAGAGAUUAAAGAUUUAUCGGUGAUGGAUGGGGAUGCGUCUGAUUAGCUUGUUGGCGGGGUAACGGCCCACCAAGGCGACGAUCAGUAGGGGUUCUGAGAGGAAGGCCCCCCACAUUGGAACUGAGACACGGUCCAAAACUCCUACGGGAGCAGCAGUGAGGAAUAUUGGUCAAUGGACGAGAGUCUGAACCAGCCAAGUAGCGUGCAGGAUGACGGCCCUAUGGGUUGUAAAACUGGCUUUUUAUAAGGGAUAAAGUGAGUCUCGUGAGGCUUUUUGCAUGUACCUUAUGAAUAAGGACCGGCUAAAUUCCGUGCCAGCAGCCG
This 505-nucleotide ribosomal RNA is filed under the name uncultured bacterium. RNAcentral describes it as "bacterial SSU rRNA". It matches the Rfam family "Bacterial small subunit ribosomal RNA", at positions 28 to 517 of the family's 1533-position model. The record is from RNAcentral.